UACAGAGGUCCCGAGCGUUGUUCGGAUUCACUGGGCGUAAAGGGCGCGUAGGCGGCCUUCUAAGUCGAACGUGAAAUCCCCGGGCUCAACCCGGGAACUGCGUCCGAUACUGGAAGGCUUGAAUCCGGGAGAGGGAUGCGGAAUUCCAGGUGUAGCGGUGAAAUGCGUAGAUAUCUGGAGGAACACCGGUGGCGAAGGCGGCAUCCUGGACCGGCAUUGACGCUGAGGCGCGAAAGCCAGGGGAGCAAACGGG
RNAcentral lists this ribosomal RNA (253 nucleotides) under uncultured bacterium. RNAcentral describes it as "partial 16S ribosomal RNA". It matches the Rfam family "Bacterial small subunit ribosomal RNA", at positions 524 to 776 of the family's 1533-position model. The record is from RNAcentral.